UGGGGUAGCCCAGUUGGCAGAGCAUGAGACUCUUAAUCUUAAGGUUGCGAGUUCAAGCCCCACAUUGGGCAAAA
Non-coding RNA from Podarcis lilfordi (Lilford's wall lizard), 74 nucleotides. The record is from the annotation of a GenBank genome assembly. Lineage: Eukaryota; Metazoa; Chordata; Lepidosauria; Squamata; Lacertidae.